GGACAGCUCCUGGGCUCCACCUUUUCCCUCACGCUGCCAGCACCAGGUUGGCGGCUUCUCGCUCAGCUGCCUUGGCAAGAGGGCAGGUCCAGGCUGGAGCCAGGUGUUGAGUGGCAGCAACCAGGAGGUGCUCCUGCCAGCCCUUCAUGCACUUUUUCUCACUUCUCCCUUCUUUUUGUAAAUAAUCACGCCUGCUUAGAUGCCUGGUGACUCUCAUCUUGCAGCAGGCCACACUGUUGGCCUCCAAUGAAGCCUUUAAAAAGCAGAUGGAGAGUGCUAGUGAGGCGGCCAAGAAGUACACGGAGAAUGACCAGCUCAAGAAGUGAGCUGCUGUUGACGGAGGCAAGUUGGAUGUCGGGAAUGCUGAGGUGAAGUUGGAGGAAGAGAACAGGAGCCUGAAGGCUGAGCUGCAGAAGCUAAAGGAUGAGCUGGCCAGCACUAAGCAAAGCUCCAAUCCCUGAUGCU
RNAcentral lists this long non-coding RNA (465 nucleotides) under Homo sapiens (human). Its description in RNAcentral is "HSALNT0385486". Lineage: Eukaryota; Metazoa; Chordata; Mammalia; Primates; Hominidae. The record is from RNAcentral.